This 28-nucleotide non-coding RNA is filed under the name Homo sapiens (human). The record is from RNAcentral. Lineage: Eukaryota; Metazoa; Chordata; Mammalia; Primates; Hominidae.
UGCACUCCAGCCUGGGUGACAGAGUGUC